UCGGUUAGUCGGCACGAGCGCACCUCAUCUUGAUUUACUAACAGGUUAGCUGAGGACUCUGCCAGAAACCGUUUGUUGGAAAAGCGGAGGAAGGCGAGGAUGACGUCAAGUCCUCAUGGCCCUUAUGGGCUGGGCUACACACGUGCUACAAUGGUAAUUACAAAGAGCAGCAAAAGGGCGACCUUGUAGCAAAUCUUCAAAAGUUAUCCUAGUUCAGAUUGUUCUCUGCAACUCGAGAGCAUGAAGUUGGAAUUGCUAGUAAUCGUGGAUCACCAUGCCACGGUGAAUACGUUCCCGGGUCUUGUACACACCGCCCGUCACACCAUGGGAGUUGGUUUUAUCUGAAGCCGAUUUUAUUAUCGUCCACGGUAGAGUCAGCGACUGGGGUGAAGUCGUAACAAGGUAGCCGUAGGGGAACCUGCGGCUGGAACACCUCCUUUCU
Molecule: ribosomal RNA, 442 nt
Filed under: uncultured low G+C Gram-positive bacterium
Lineage: Bacteria; Bacillati; Bacillota
Description: bacterial SSU rRNA
Rfam family: Bacterial small subunit ribosomal RNA
Source: RNAcentral